RNAcentral lists this long non-coding RNA (4552 nucleotides) under Homo sapiens (human). RNAcentral's name for it is "HSALNT0163983". Lineage: Eukaryota; Metazoa; Chordata; Mammalia; Primates; Hominidae. The record is from RNAcentral.
CUGGCUGCCUGCUUCCCAGGGAAACACACCUGUAUCAGAGCAUUUAACCCACCACUCUCACAUUCCACCUCUCCCUGGAAGAAAAACCUGUUUGCCAUUCUGCUGGCUGGCUUCCUUGUUGGUGCAGGUAGAAAGCCAGGCUCUGGGAACCCAGCAGACAUGCUGUCAGGAGAACUUCCUUUGCAGUGGGAUGUGAGCUGAGGCAGCGGGAGACCACUGGUUUGUGUUAUAUCCUCUGACUCGACAGUGAGCACAGGGACUCUCAAAUGUGACAUUUCUCCUAUUGGUGCUAUCUAUGCCUGUCCUUUCAGCCAGGUGGAUCAAGUCAUUUGCUGCAUCGUUUUACAUUGUGGAAAACCUCCUUUAUGUCUGGCUUAAUACGACACGCUGAGGUUCCCGUACCUGUUUCUGCCUUCAAACUGUUCCUGCGGGCUGUUUUUGGAAGAAAAUCUGGUCUCAUAUGGAUAUGUGGUUGGAAAAGGGAAGACCUUGUGGGACCCCCUGAAAUGGCCAGGGGACCUUAGACCAUACUUCGAGAAUCAUCACCUUUCAGCAAUGGUUUAAAUAAGCCGAGAAAGCUUUCCUCACCUUCAUGUAACAGCUGAGGAAACUGAAGGCUCUGAAAAUGACAUGAUGUUGUGAAGAUCUUACCCUGCUUUAAUGCAGGAGGCAAGGCUAGGAACUGGCUCUUCUGUCUCCUGCUUUGGGGCUAUUUCCAUUACUAAAGGAAACAAGAUUCAUGAUGCUCCUAAAGUACAGCCUCCUUAAGAGUUCCUUUCAUGAAGGUCCCCAGUUUGUGAUAGUUUUGCAGCCUUUCUUUGUCUUUCAUGGUCUGGAUGAUUUUGAGGAAUGCUGGUCCGAUGUUUUGUAAAACAGCCCCCAAGUUGGAUUUCUCUGAUGUUUUCUUAUGGUUUGACUGGAGUUAUGGACAUCUGGAGGAAGAAUACCACAGAGGGUCUAGGUCUGUCACCUAGGCUGGAGUGCAGUGGCACAAUCAUGGCUCAUUGAAGCCCAGACCUCCCAGCUUACAGCUCCUGGUAAUUGUUCCUUCUCCUGGUGUUCCUUGCUCAGCCUUGGGAUGCUGCACAGACUGGAAGGUUGCCCAAGAAACCCUUUCCCCUCAACCUCCUAAGUUGCUGGAACCACAGGCACAUGCCACCACACCUGGCUAAUUUUUUUAAGUGUUCUGUAGAGAUGGGGUCUCCCUAUGUUGCCCAGGCUGGAUCUUUACAUUUUCUUAAGAUAUCUUUCCAAGAGCAGAAAAAAUCCAUUUUAAUUAAGUCCAACUUAUGAAUUUUUUUAUUUCAUGGUUUAUGCUCUUUUGUGUCCUACCUUAAGGGCAAAAAAACUGUCUCCUAUAUAUUCUUCUAGAAGUUUUAGUUUUUGUGCUUUGGUCUGUGUCCAUUUUGAGUAUUUUUAUGCGUGGUGUGAAGCAAUGAGGCCGAAGUUGGAUUUUUUUUUUUCCUCUAUGGCUAUCCAAUUGCUGCAGCACCAUUUGUUGAAAAGGAAAUUCUUUCCACAUUAAAGUGUCUUAGAAUCUUUGUCAAAUCAAUUUAUUACCAGAUGCAUGUGAAUUUAUAUCUGGAUUUUCUAUUCUGUUCUAUUGAUCUAUAAAUAUGCCUAUUCUUAUGCUAAGAUUAUAUGAUCAUGGUUACCUUAGCUUAAAAUAAGACUUGAAAUCAGUUUAAAUUUCUAACUUUGCUCUUCUUUUCAAUACUCUUUUGGCUAUUACAGAUUCUUUGUAUUUCCAUAUAAAUUUUAGAAUCAGCUUGUUAAUUUCUACCCAAAAAAAGCCUUCUGGGAUUUUAUUAGGUUUACAUUUGUGAAAGGAAAAAAUAAAUCUUGGGGACCCCAAAUCACUAAGCUGAAAGGAAAAGUCAAGCUGGGAACUGCUUAGUGCAAACCUGCCUCCCAUUCUAUUCGAAGUCAUCCCUUUGCUCACUGAGAUAAAUGCAUAUCUGAUUGCCUCCUUUGGAAAGGCUAAUCAGAAACUCAAAAGAUGCAACCAUCUGUCUCUUAUCUACCUGUGACCUGGAAGCUCCCUCCCCACUUCAAGUGUCCUGCCUUUCUGGAUGGAACAAAUGUACACCUUACAUAUAUUGAUUGGUGUCUCAUGUCUCCCUAAAAUGUAUAAAACCAAACUGUUCCCCAACCACCUGGGGCACUUGUCACCAGGACUUCCUGAGGCUGUCUCCUGGGCGCGCAUCCUUAACUUUGGCAAAAUAAACUUCCUAAAUUGACUGAGAUCUGUGUCAGAUAUUUGGGGUUCACACAUUAAAUCUGUAGAAUAGGGAAUAAUUGACAUGUUUACAGUAUUGAAUCUUCUGAUCUAUGAGCACAAAAUAGUUUCCAUUUGUUUGGUAGUUUUCAGUGUGUAGGUCUUACACAUAUUUCAUUCCAUUUAUUUCUAAGUAUGUUUGGAUACUAUUGUAAGCGGCAUUUUUCCACUUCAACUUCCAGUUAUUCAUUGCUAGUAUAUAGAAAUGUAAUUGAUUUCUAUAUAGUAACCUUGUAUCCUGCAACCUUGCUCACCUCACCUAUCAUUUUAGUAACUUCUUUAUAUGUUUCUUGAGAUUUCCAAAGUACGCAAUUGCAAUGUUUGAAAUAAAGACAGUUAUACUUCUUCUUUUCUGAUCUGGAUGCUUUUAUUCUUAACUUAUUGCAGAGGCUAAGACUUCCUGCAAAAUGUUGAACAGAAAUAAUGAUGGGAGACAUAUUUUUCAGUAAAAGAUGCCAAAAUAAUAGGAUAGCUGUAUGAAAACAAAUAGGUAAAGAAACAAACAAACACAAAAAACCCACAAAAGCCUCAAUGAUUCCUAGCCCUGUGUGAGCAUUGGGAUUUUUUCAGCUUACAUCUCCUGGUAAUUGUUCCUUCUCCUGGUGUUCUUUGCUCAGCCUUGGGAUGCUGCACAGACUGGAAUUUAGCCAAGGAUUUGAGGGGAUUCCAUGCAGACUCUUGGAGCCCUUUCUCUGCAUAACCUCCUUUUCUCUGGUACUCUGCCCUGCAAAUUGCAGGCAUCUCAGCCUCCCCAGACUUACAUUUCAAUCUCUUCAGCUCAGUGAGACCACUGAACUCUGAAUUCUCCCACCCUGUUUUGCAUUCCAGAAAUUGCCUCCAUGCAGAAAAUUGGGGUAAGGUUGAUCUGAUCUGUUUGUAUUCUUUCAAGUGCUGGGUUUUCUAUUAACCUACAUCUUAAAACAGUUGUUCUAUACAUUUCCACCCCAGUUUUCUAGUUGUUUACUAAGGGAGAAAAAGUCUAGACCUUGCUACCUUCUCAUGGCAUGGUCAUUUUUGUUAGUCUCCUAUUCUUUGCUCAUUUUUUUUUUUUUUUUUGGUUCUGCGAACCCAGAAAAUCUGAGACAGGCCUCAGGUAAUUUAGAAAGUUUAUUUUGUCAGAGUUGAGGAUGCGCCCAUGACACAGCCUCAGGAGGUCCUGACGACAUGCGCCCAAGGUGGUCAGGGCACAGCUUGGUUUUAUGCAUUUUAGGGAGACAUGAAACAUCAAUCAAUAUAUGUAAGAAGUACAUUGGUUCCGUCUGGAAAGGUGGGACAACUUGAAGCAAAGGCAGGAAGACUCAAUGUGGGGGAAGGAGCUUCCAGGUCACAGAUAGGUGAUAGACAAACACACUCUUUUGAGUUUCUGAUUAGCCAUUCCAAAGGAGGCAAAUCAGACAUGCAUCUAUCUCCGUGAGCAGAGGAGUGACUUCGAAUAGAAUGGGAGGCAGAUUUGCCCUAAGCAGUUUCCAGCAUGAGUUUUCCUUAGUGAUUUUGGGGGCCCAAGAUGCUUUCCUUUCACAGUUCCAUCUUGUAUUUCUUUAAAUAUUUCAAACAGUUAUUUAAUUGUCUAUAUCUGAGAAUUCCAACAUUUGUAGUCUUUAAGGAUUUAAAUCUGUGGUGACUUGUAUCCUUACGUGUUUGCUAAUUUGUGAUUGUGACUUAGUCUUUGGGCAUCACAAGUCUCUCAGGUGGGAAUGCCUUCCUCUAGAGGUGAUUUUUGCUUGUUUGGCUGAGAGUCAGAGAAGUACUUCUGACCUGGAACCUCUGUCCCAGACUUUAUUUAGGAGUAUCCAUUUCAGCUCCUCCAACUUGCAGGUGGCUCUCUGCUAUUGCCAAUAAAUGUAUUUACCCUCAGGUCAAUAUCACUGAUAUGGACAGAAGGCAGGGAAAUAGUGGGUAUAAGAGUGUGGGGUCCCUGGUGAGGGCUCCAUCCUCAAGCCUGGACCUGCAGCCCUAAAUGAGACGAUGCAUUCCUGUUUUCCCACCCGAAUGUUGCCUUUUCCAAAACCACUCUGGCCUGCCACGCCCCCAACUCCGUACCCAUAAAAACACCAAACUCCACUGGAAGAGGAGCAGAGUGGUGUGGCAGAGGACAGAAGAGAAGUGUCUGAAUGUUGAGAGAAGAGGCGGCUAGACAUUGGAGACUACGGUUGGAGAGGAGUUCAGCUGGGGAUGUUCGGAGAAGGAAGAUUAUCUUCCCAUUCCAUCCCCUUUCCAGCUCCCCGUCCCAUUGAGAGCCACUUCCAUCACUCAAUAAAAUCCUCUGCACACACC